Molecule: ribosomal RNA, 403 nt
Filed under: uncultured soil bacterium
Lineage: Bacteria
Description: bacterial SSU rRNA
Rfam family: Bacterial small subunit ribosomal RNA
Source: RNAcentral
AGAUUGAACGCUAGCGGGAUGCUUUACACAUGCAAGUCGAACGGCAGCGCGGACUUCGGUCUGGCGGCGAGUGGCGAACGGGUGAGUAAUAUAUCGGAACGUGCCCAGUAGCGGGGGAUAACUACGCGAAAGCGUGGCUAAUACCGCAUACGCCCUACGGGGGAAAGGGGGGAUUCUUCGGAACCUCUCACUAUUGGAGCGGCCGAUAUCAGAUUAGCUAGUUGGUGAGGUAAAGGCUCACCAAGGCGACGAUCUGUAGCUGGUUUGAGAGGACGACCAGCCACACUGGGACUGAGACACGGCCCAGACUCCGUACGGGAGGCAGCAGUGGGAAUUUGGACAAGUGGGGGAAACCCUGAUCCAGCCAGUCCCGCGUGUGCGAUGGAAGGCCUUCGGGUUGUAA